This is a long non-coding RNA of Coturnix japonica (Japanese quail), 2539 nucleotides long. RefSeq lists it as uncharacterized. The record is from RefSeq and is a predicted model, not a curated record. NCBI's taxonomy places the organism in Eukaryota, Metazoa, Chordata, Aves, Galliformes, Phasianidae.
GAUGACACGGAAACAGAAGCUCAGGGGAGGUAAAACAUCACAGUCUCAAGGCACUACUGGGACAGACCCGGGCCAUGGCAUUCACUCAAAGCAAGAUGCCCACUCCCAGAGCUCAGCGGCUGCUUGCACAGUCAUCGUCAGGAAGGAGCAUUUUGGUUUGCAAACUUUACCAAAAGCACCUUUAGGCACUGGGCACCGUGGCAGUUCCACAGCACUGAUGGAGGAGCUGAGGAAGGGACAACAAAGAAAUCACACUUUUCCAAAUCUGGACACCGGGAGCUGAGAAUACACACGAGGACACUGUAGAUACUGAAGCCAGCAAAUGGAGCAACCUCCUGCUAAACAUUAAGGACCUGCAUAACCAAGCUGGCUUCACCAAAACAGCCAACAUGCCGACAAAUGAUGUGUGUUUGCUGCCCUGAACAUGGACAAUGUUUUUUCCUGCAACAAAUGUGCAGAAGAAGGUGUUCUGGAGUGCAAGGGGACAUUAAAUCAGCUCUGUUAACCUGAUUAAGCCCUCUCAGUCACCACAUGCACAGGAUCCCACAGCCAUUGGUGAACUAGGAAGGUAACACACGCGGAGUUGCAGGGCAGACCCUGCCUCACCGCAGCAGCAGUGCAUUACACCCAGCAGUGUUCUGCCCCAUCAGCCCUAAUGUGGGCACAGCUGGCCCAUAUUCCUGUAGCCUCCUGGUUUUAAAGCUGAUAGCUAACUGGAGUAUGUGCCUCCGCAGCCCAUGCCAGAAGUUAAUCUUUGGGCUACACAGUGCGACAAGCAGUGAGACUCAUAAGGAACUCUGAAAGGAGAGGGAUGCUGCAUUAGACUGGCUGGGAUGGCCAGCACAUAAUUUAGACACAAUGAGCUCUAAAACCCAUGCCAAUAAAUCAGCAUCUGUCAGACACCCUCUCAAGUAUCAGUGGCAUUAACAGCACAAGGCUACAAAGAAAGCUACUCAUUAUAAGCAACUAAGUUCAGUUGCUUAUAAGUUGCUUUCUAAGUUCAGAAAAUAUGAUAAAAUAGAUAACGUAAUAAUUUGCAGCAGCAUGCAGCUGAUGGUUUUGGGUUGAUUUUGCUUCUGAGUUACAUUUCCUGCCAUGCUGGGUGUGCACAAAAAGACACUUUUUCUAGGUCAGCAAUGAACACGAGAUGUCCAGAGCUCACUCACACAGCCCAGCACAGACCUCCAUGGCCACUCAUGCAUUGCUUCAGCCUGCACUCAUCAGCCUAACCUAGGGAGCUGCUACCCAACUCUGAGGGAGCCCCACACCUUGAAGUCCCUGCUCACUUUUUGAAACAUUCUGCUUCAGCAGAAAAACUUGAGCACUAUGUGUGAAAAAGCCAUCCCAAAAUUUAUUCUCAAAAUGUCAACAGAAACUCAUCAGUAGAUACUCAAAACUACAGAGUUCUUACAUAAAAGUCAUACAUUCACAAUGCAGAAAACUUGACAACAGGGAUGCCUUUUGCAUGUUCCAUGUAACAAUAUCCAUCUUACAGUGUAAACAGGUACUGGUAUGUUCUCACUUACAAGUCCAGCAGGAAAGGCACAACUCGGCAUACAGAGAUCAUAAGCAAGAAUCAGGUGCAACAACAUUACACAAACUUUUGGUAAUCUGUACUUUUGGAGCCUUUCACAACAGAGACUGGACUUGAUUUCCUGCGGUCCACAAAGACUUCUUUCCAUCGCUCAGUCCUUCUUUACCAAAUGCUAUUUCCAGUCCGGUUUAGAUCCCAUUACACACAGUUCCAGUAGACAUUAGAGGAAUAGUGAAAGGUCAGUCCAGUAAUCCUCAGGUGCUCCCACUAAUACAUUGGGUUUUGGUUUCAGAUAGUGCAUGGAAGCAUCUGCUUGAAUCUCAGUUUAUUACAGUGGUCAUUAAUAGAAAAAUAGACACUACAUCUACAAAAAGAAAAAAAUGAGGUAGAUAACUUAGAAUCCAGAUGACCAUCCCAGCAACCUUCAUACAAUAUGCACGGAUCAUUAAUUACCAUUUUGGCAGAAUGUAACUUCACAGACCACCAAGAAACUUAAUGACCAGAGUAGGAAUGCCAUCCAAAACCCCCCAAAAAACCCACGACAUUUAACCUAAGCAUGAAUACUUCAUAUUUAAAUACAGGUUUACACAGACUGAUCUUCUAAAUUACUCAAAUUAAAAACAAUAAAAGUAAAAAACAAAACAAAACACCACAACAAAGUCUCUUGCUAAGGAAGCUAGUUCCCAUGCCUAAUUGCAACAGUCACCUGAGAUUCCUUGCAGAGCUUUCAGACCUGACUUCCCAAGGCAAGUCUUCCCUUUCAAGAAAGAAAAAAGUAUAUACAUACCCACCCACAUUUGGUUUGGGGCUCUGAAAUAAAACAUCUCGGAAAAACUGCACGUCUUUGGAAGGAGGGAGUUUGGCACUAAACUUGGAGGCCUGUUCUAGUAGUAGUAUUAAAUAAGCAGCAGUCAGCACAACAGAAUUCCUUAGAAGCAGUGAUUGAAGAAAAACAGCAACUUCCUUUCAUAGAACUUCUGAGGCAAAAAGGAAUUUUUUAAAAAA